RNAcentral lists this ribosomal RNA (649 nucleotides) under Escherichia coli. RNAcentral's name for it is "bacterial SSU rRNA". It matches the Rfam family "Bacterial small subunit ribosomal RNA", at positions 874 to 1520 of the family's 1533-position model. RNAcentral also lists the same sequence under 1 other name. Lineage: Bacteria; Pseudomonadati; Pseudomonadota; Gammaproteobacteria; Enterobacterales; Enterobacteriaceae. The record is from RNAcentral.
GCCUGGGGAGUACGGCCGCAAGGUUAAAACUCAAAUGAAUUGACGGGGGCCCGCACAAGCGGUGGAGCAUGUGGUUUAAUUCGAUGCAACGCGAAGAACCUUACCUGGUCUUGACAUCCACAGAACUUUCCAGAGAUGGAUUGGUGCCUUCGGGAACUGUGAGACAGGUGCUGCAUGGCUGUCGUCAGCUCGUGUUGUGAAAUGUUGGGUUAAGUCCCGCAACGAGCGCAACCCUUAUCCUUUGUUGCCAGCGGUCCGGCCGGGAACUCAAAGGAGACUGCCAGUGAUAAACUGGAGGAAGGUGGGGAUGACGUCAAGUCAUCAUGGCCCUUACGACCAGGGCUACACACGUGCUACAAUGGCGCAUACAAAGAGAAGCGACCUCGCGAGAGCAAGCGGACCUCAUAAAGUGCGUCGUAGUCCGGAUUGGAGUCUGCAACUCGACUCCAUGAAGUCGGAAUCGCUAGUAAUCGUGGAUCAGAAUGCCACGGUGAAUACGUUCCCGGGCCUUGUACACACCGCCCGUCACACCAUGGGAGUGGGUUGCAAAAGAAGUAGGUAGCUUAACCUUCGGGAGGGCGCUUACCACUUUGUGAUUCAUGACUGGGGUGAAGUCGUAACAAGGUAACCGUAGGGGAACCUGCGGUUG